Small nucleolar RNA from Hibiscus syriacus, 106 nucleotides. NCBI's taxonomy places the organism in Eukaryota, Viridiplantae, Streptophyta, Magnoliopsida, Malvales, Malvaceae. The record is from RefSeq and is a predicted model, not a curated record.
AAACCAUGAAUCGGGCAUUUCUGUAGAAAGUCUUUAAAUCACUCUCAUACUUUAUACAAGUUCUCAUCUCCAAUUGCUUGAAAUAUGUGAUGUCAUUCCUUAAUCU